Molecule: ribosomal RNA, 459 nt
Filed under: uncultured bacterium
Lineage: Bacteria
Description: partial 16S ribosomal RNA
Rfam family: Bacterial small subunit ribosomal RNA
Source: RNAcentral
CCUACGGGAGGCAGCAGUGAGGAAUAUUGGUCAAUGGGCGGAAGCCUGAACCAGCCAAGUAGCGUGCGGGAUGAAGGCCCUACGGGUCGUAAACCGCUUUUGCACGGGGAUAACACCCUCCACUUGUGGAGGUCUGCAGGUACCGUGCGAAUAAGGGCCGGCUAAUUCCGUGCCAGCAGCCGCGGUAAUACGGAGGGUCCGAGCGUUAUCCGGAUUCAUUGGGCUUAAAGGGUGCGUAGGCGGGCGUUAAAGUCAGCUGUAAAAUCGCGCGGCUCAACUGCGCCCCGCAGUUGAAACUGGACGGCUUGAGUUCACAACAGGCAGGCGGAAUGCAUGGUGUAGCGGUGAAAUGCAUAGAGAGCACGAGGAACCCCGAUUGCGAAGGCAGCCUGCCGGGGUGCGACUGACGCUGAGGCUCGAAGGUGCGGGUAGCAAACAGGAUUAGAUACCCGAGUAGUC